RNAcentral lists this ribosomal RNA (252 nucleotides) under uncultured bacterium. RNAcentral's name for it is "partial 16S ribosomal RNA". It matches the Rfam family "Bacterial small subunit ribosomal RNA", at positions 524 to 776 of the family's 1533-position model. The record is from RNAcentral.
UACGUAAGGUCCGAGCGUUGUCCGGAAUCAUUGGGCGUAAAGGGUCCGUAGGCGGAUAAGCAAGUUAGAAGUGAAAUCCUAUAGCUCAACUAUAGUAAGCUUUUAAAACUGCUCAUCUUGAGGUAUGGAAGGGUAAGUGGAAUUCCUAGUGUAGCGGUGAAAUGCGCAGAUAUUAGGAAGAAUACCGGUGGCGAAGGCGACUUUCUGGGCCUAAACUGACGCUGAGGUACGAAAGCUUGGGGAGCGAACAGG